RNAcentral lists this ribosomal RNA (466 nucleotides) under uncultured bacterium. Its description in RNAcentral is "SSU rRNA". It matches the Rfam family "Bacterial small subunit ribosomal RNA", at positions 26 to 518 of the family's 1533-position model. The record is from RNAcentral.
AGGAUUAACGCUGGCGGCGUGCCUAACACAUGCAAGUCGAACGAGGUAGCAAUACCUAGUGGCAGACGGGUGAGUAACGCGUGGUCAACCUACCGUUGAGUGGGGGAUAACUAGCCGAAAGGUUAGCUAAUACCGCAUACGAGUCUCGGGGGCAUCCCUGGGCCUUAAAAGGAGCAAUCCGCUCGAUGACGGGACCGCGUCCCAUUAGCUAGAUGGUGGGGUAACGGCCUACCAUGGCACCGAUGGGUAGCUGGUUUGAGAGAGCGACCAGCCACACUGGGACUGAGAAACGGCCCAGACUCCUACGGGAGGCAGCAGUGAGGAAUUUUCCGCAAUGGGCGAAAGCCUGACGGAGCGACGCCGCGUGUGGGAAGAAGGCCUUCGGGUCGUAAACCACUGUCGAAGGGGACGAUAAUGACGGUACCCUUGGGAGGAACGCCCCGGCUAACUACGCGCCAGCAGCCGC